This 459-nucleotide ribosomal RNA is filed under the name uncultured bacterium. RNAcentral describes it as "partial 16S ribosomal RNA". It matches the Rfam family "Bacterial small subunit ribosomal RNA", at positions 338 to 795 of the family's 1533-position model. The record is from RNAcentral.
CCUACGGGUGGCAGCAGUGAGGAAUAUUGGUCAAUGGUCGGGAGACUGAACCAGCCAAGCUGCGUGAGGGAGGAAGGUACAGAGUAUCGUAAACCUCUUUUGUCAGGGAACAAAGACUGGGACGCGUCCCCGGAUGAGUGUACCUGAAGAAAAAGCAUCGGCUAACUCCGUGCCAGCAGCCGCGGUAAUACGGAGGAUGCGAGCGUUAUCCGGUUUUAUUGGGUUUAAAGGAUGCGCAGGCGGUCUGUUAAGUCAGCGGUCAAAGCCCGGGGCUCAACCCCGGCCCGCCGUUGAAACUGGCAGGCUCGAGUUGGAGAGAGGUAGGCGGAAUGCGCGGUGUAGCGGUGAAAUGCAUAGAUAUCGCGCAGAACUCCGAUUGCGAAGGCAGCAUGCCGGAUCCACACUGACGCUGAGGCACGAAAGCGUGGGUAUCGAACAGGAUUAGAUACCCGAGUAGUC